RNAcentral lists this ribosomal RNA (339 nucleotides) under uncultured bacterium. RNAcentral's name for it is "bacterial SSU rRNA". It matches the Rfam family "Bacterial small subunit ribosomal RNA", at positions 28 to 369 of the family's 1533-position model. The record is from RNAcentral.
GACGAACGCUGGCGGCGUGCUUAACACAUGCAAGUCGAACGGUAAGGCCCUUCGGGGUACACGAGUGGCGAACGGGUGAGUAACACGUGGGUGAUCUGCCCUGCACUUCGGGAUAAGCCUGGGAAACUGGGUCUAAUAACCGGAUAGGACCAUGGACUUCACGGUUUGUGGUGGAAAGCUUUUGCGGUGUGGGAUGGGCCCGCGGCCUAAUCAGCUUGUUGGUGGGGUAAUGGCCUACCAAGGCGACGACGGGUAGCCGGCCUGAGAGGGUGUCCGGCCACACUGGGACUGAGAUACGGCCCAGACUCCUACGGGAGGCAGCAGUGGGGAAUAUUGCAC